RNAcentral lists this non-coding RNA (24 nucleotides) under Arabidopsis thaliana (thale cress). The record is from RNAcentral. Lineage: Eukaryota; Viridiplantae; Streptophyta; Magnoliopsida; Brassicales; Brassicaceae.
CACGCUGUUGAUGCGGCAUGAUCA